Molecule: ribosomal RNA, 301 nt
Filed under: uncultured bacterium
Lineage: Bacteria
Description: partial 16S ribosomal RNA
Rfam family: Bacterial small subunit ribosomal RNA
Source: RNAcentral
CAGUAGCCGCGGUAACACGAAGGGGGCUAGCGUUGCUCGGAAUGACUGGGCGUAAAGGGCGCGUAGGCGGAUUGUUCAGUUAGGCGUGAAAUUCCUGGGCUUAACCUGGGGACUGCGCUUAAUACAGGCAGUCUAGAGUGAGGAAGAGGGUUGUGGAAUUCCCAGUGUAGAGGUGAAAUUCGUAGAUAUUGGGAAGAACACCGGUGGCGAAGGCGGCAACCUGGUCCUUGACUGACGCUGAGACGCGAAAGCGUGGGGAGCAAACAGGAUUUGAGACCCCUGUAGUCCCUGUCUCUUAUAC